AGAGUUUGAUCAUGGCUCAGAACGAACGCUGGCGGCAGGCUUAACACAUGCAAGUCGAACGCGUGUAGCAAUACACGAGUGGCGCACGGGUGAGUAACGCGUGGAUAUCUGCCUUUUGGUUCGGAAUAACCCCGGGAAACUGGGGCUAAUACCGGAUGGUUCCUUCGGGAUAAAGAUUUAUCGCCAAAAGAUGAGUCCGCGUACGAUUAGCUAGUUGGUGAGGUAAUGGCUCACCAAGGCGACGAUCGUUAGCUGGUCUGAGAGGACGAUCAGCCACACUGGGACUGAGACACGGCCCAGACUCCUACGGGAGGCAGCAGUGGGGAAUAUUGGACAAUGGGGGCAACCCUGAUCCAGCCAUGCCGCGUGAGUGAUGAAGGCCUUCGGGUUGUAAAGCUCUUUUGGCGGGGACGAUGAUGACGGUACCCGCAGAAUAAGCCCCGGCUAACUUCGUGCCAGCAGCCGCGGUAAGACGAAGGGGGCUAGCGUUGUUCGGAAUUACUGGGCGUAAAGCGAGUGUAGGUGGUUGUCCAAGUUGGAUGUGAAAGCCUUGAGCUCAACUCAAGAAAUGCAUUCAGGACUGGGCGGCUAGAGGACCGGAGAGGAUAGUGGAAUUCCCAGUGUAGUGGUGAAAUACGUAGAGAUUGGGAAGAACACCAGUGGCGAAGGCGGCUAUCUGGACGGUUUCUGACACUAAGACUCGAAAGCGUGGGGAGCAAACAGGAUUAGAUACCCUAGUAGUCC
Molecule: ribosomal RNA, 744 nt
Filed under: uncultured bacterium
Lineage: Bacteria
Description: bacterial SSU rRNA
Rfam family: Bacterial small subunit ribosomal RNA
Source: RNAcentral